RNAcentral lists this ribosomal RNA (442 nucleotides) under uncultured bacterium. Its description in RNAcentral is "partial 16S ribosomal RNA". It matches the Rfam family "Bacterial small subunit ribosomal RNA", at positions 338 to 795 of the family's 1533-position model. The record is from RNAcentral.
CCUACGGGGGGCAGCAGUGGGGAAUAUUGGGCAAUGGGCGCAAGCCUGACCCAGCAAUGCCGCGUGAAGGAAGAAGGCUUUCGGGUUGUAAACUUCUUUUACAGGGGAAGAGCAGAAGACCGUACCCUGAAUACAAGCCACGGCUAACUACGUGCCAGCAGCCGGGGUAAUACGGUGGUGGCCAGCGUUGUCCGGAUUUACUGGGUGUAAAGGGCGUGUAGCCGGGAAGGGAAGUCAGAUGUGAAAUCUGGAGGCUCAACCUCCAAAUUGCAUUUGAAACUGUUUUUCUUGAGUACUGGAGAGGCAGACGGAAUUCCUGGUGUAGCGGUGAAAUGCGUAGAUAUAAGGAGGAACACCAGUGGCGAAGGCGGUCUGCUGGACAGCAACUGACGGUGAGGCGCGAAAGCGUGGGGAGCAAACAGGAUUAGAUACCCGGGUAGUC